Molecule: long non-coding RNA, 623 nt
Filed under: Gopherus agassizii (Agassiz's desert tortoise)
Lineage: Eukaryota; Metazoa; Chordata; Testudines; Testudinidae
Description: lncRNA (ENSGAGG00000019565.1)
Source: RNAcentral
GUUAAUUUGAAAUUAGUCAUGUGCUGAAUGUCCCACUUAUGCUUAUUUAGCUGAGGUAAUCACAAGAAAAAAAGUAACUCUUUUAAAAAAUAAAGUUUGUAUUUUUUAGAAAACCCCCAGAGUAUUAUCUUGUAUGAACUCUGAACAUUUUGUAUUUUAACAUAAAAGUAAUUAAUAAUUACACACUGUACAUAUGGAAAUACAGGUUUGAUCCUCAUAAUAAGUUAAUACAAUUUAGCUUUCUUUAAUGUGUAUGCUACAGGGUGGAUUCUAAAUUCCAGUGUAUUUUUUACAUUUAAAACAAAUGAGACUAUUUAUGAGGGUAAGGAUAUAUAUGUGUAAUACAGAAAGUAUGCAUAUUUUAUUUACUGAACACUAGUGCCUUCACACAACCUAUUUUUUGUUGACAUUUGUUUAUUUUCUCUGGGAGAAUGACAGAUCUGCAGCACAACAUAAUACCAAUCCAAAGGCCAGAGUUUCAGAGCAGACUGGAUUUCAGUGUGAUAUGGAUUUAUUGACUUUGCAGUGGAUUGCGUCAACAUUGCGAAAAGGAGAAGGCGGAGCAGUGGCACUUACUCCUCCGAGAGAGAGGGAGAAAAACCCUGCACACACGCGACCUUAAG